This 22-nucleotide microRNA is filed under the name Homo sapiens (human). RNAcentral's name for it is "hsa-miR-6741-5p". The record is from miRBase by way of RNAcentral. Lineage: Eukaryota; Metazoa; Chordata; Mammalia; Primates; Hominidae.
GUGGGUGCUGGUGGGAGCCGUG